CACCUCUGGAAUGGCAGGACCGACUGCUUACCUAGCUCCUUACCAUAGGUUUUCCUAUGUUCAUCCAGGAUCUCCAACAGACGGAGCUCUACAAUGUCCCACCUCAUCGUGGCUAGGGAUCUCAGAAGAACUCUAAAGGCAAAUGGAAGCACAAUAAUUACUAUUAAGACAAUGUCAGUAAUAACAGCAAGCAAGAUUAUGUACUGAACCCAAUCCAAAGGGUUUAAUGCGCUUAAAUUAUUUUUUAAUUCACUGGCCAACUCAUCAAUGUUCCAAGUAUC
Mastomys coucha (southern multimammate mouse) is the source of this 281-nucleotide long non-coding RNA. RefSeq lists it as uncharacterized. The record is from RefSeq and is a predicted model, not a curated record. NCBI's taxonomy places the organism in Eukaryota, Metazoa, Chordata, Mammalia, Rodentia, Muridae. The transcript is spliced from 2 exons.